AGCUUUGCUCCCGGAUGUUAGCGGCGGACGGGUGAGUAUCACGUGGGUAACCUGCCUGUAAGACUGGGAUAACUCCGGGAAACCGGAGCUAAUACCGGAUAGUUCCUUGAACCGCAUGGUUCAAGGAUGAAAGACGGUUUCGGCUGUCACUUACAGAUGGACCCGCGGCGCAUUAGCUAGUUGGUGGGGUAAUGGCUCACCAAGGCGACGAUGCGUAGCCGACCUGAGAGGGUGAUCGGCCACACUGGGACUGAGACACGGCCCAGACUCCUACGGGAGGCAGCAGUAGGGAAUCUUCCGCAAUGGACGAAAGUCUGACGGAGCAACGCCGCGUGAGUGAUGAAGGUUUUCGGAUCGUAAAGCUCUGUUGUUAGGGAAGAACAAGUGCGAGAGUAACUGCUCGCACCUUGACGGUACCUAACCAGAAAGCCACGGCUAACUACGUGCCAGCAGCCGCGGUAAUACGUAGGUGGCAAAGCGUUGUCCGGAAUUAUUGGGCGUAAAGGGCUCGCAGGCGGUUUCUUAAGUCUGAUGUGAAAGCCCCCGGCUCAACCGGGGAGGGUCAUUGGAAAACUGGGAAACUUGAGUGCAGAAGAGGAGAGUGGAAUUCCACGUGUAGCGGUGAAAUGCGUAGAGAUGUGGAGGAACACCAGUGGCGAAGGCGACUCUCUGGUCUGUAACUGACGCUGAGGAGCGAAAGCGUGGGGAGCGAACAGGAUUAGAUACCCUGGUAGUCCACGCCGUAAACGAUGAGUGCUAAGUGUUAGGGGGUUUCCGCCCCUUAGUGCUGCAGCUAACGCAUUAAGCACUCCGCCUGGGGAGUACGGUCGCAAGACUGAAACUCAAAGGAAUUGACGGGGGCCCGCACAAGCGGUGGAGCAUGUGGUUUAAUUCGAAGCAACGCGAAGAACCUUACCAGGUCUUGACAUCCUCUGACAACCCUAGAGAUAGGGCUUUCCCUUCGGGGACAAGAGUGACAGGUGGUGCAUGGUUGUCGUCAGCUCGUGUCGUGAGAUGUUGGGUUAAGUCCCGCAACGAGCGCAACCCUUGAUCUUAGUUGCCAGCAUUCAGUUGGGCACUCUAAGGUGACUGCCGGUGACAAACCGGAGGAAGGUGGGGAUGACGUCAAAUCAUCAUGCCCCUUAUGAC
RNAcentral lists this ribosomal RNA (1149 nucleotides) under Bacillus safensis. RNAcentral's name for it is "bacterial SSU rRNA". It matches the Rfam family "Bacterial small subunit ribosomal RNA", at positions 76 to 1208 of the family's 1533-position model. The record is from RNAcentral. Lineage: Bacteria; Bacillati; Bacillota; Bacilli; Caryophanales; Bacillaceae.